GCUUAACACAUGCAAGUCGAGCGGUAACAGAGAUAGCUUGCUAUCUGCUGACGAGCGGCGGACGGGUGAGUAAUGCUUGGGAAUAUGCCUUUGAGUGGGGGACAACAGUUGGAAACGACUGCUAAUACCGCAUAACGUCUACGGACCAAAGGGGGGGAUGCUUCGGCACCUCUCGCUCAUUGAUUAGCCCAAGUGAGAUUAGCUAGUUGGUAAGGUAAUGGCUUACCAAGGCGACGAUCUCUAGCUGGUUUGAGAGGAUGAUCAGCCACACUGGGACUGAGACACGGCCCAGACUCCUACGGGAGGCAGCAGUGGGGAAUAUUGCACAAUGGGCGAAAGCCUGAUGCAGCCAUGCCGCGUGUGUGAAGAAGGCCUUCGGGUCGUAAAGCACUUUCAGCGAGGAGGAAAGGUUAGUAGUUAAUAGCUGCUAGCUGUGACGUUACUCGCAGAAGAAGCACCGGCUAACUUCGUGCCAGCAGCCGCGGUAAUACGAGGGGUGCAAGCGUUAAUCGGAAUUACUGGGCGUAAAGCGUGCGUAGGUGGUUUGUUAAGCAAGAUGUGAAAGCCCCGGGCUCAACCUGGGAACUGCAUUUUGAACUGGCAAAC
RNAcentral lists this ribosomal RNA (606 nucleotides) under uncultured bacterium. RNAcentral's name for it is "bacterial SSU rRNA". It matches the Rfam family "Bacterial small subunit ribosomal RNA", at positions 46 to 641 of the family's 1533-position model. The record is from RNAcentral.